RNAcentral lists this transfer RNA (76 nucleotides) under Alphaproteobacteria bacterium. RNAcentral describes it as "tRNA-Thr". It matches the Rfam family "tRNA". Rfam says of the family: Transfer RNA (tRNA) molecules are approximately 80 nucleotides in length. Their secondary structure includes four short double-helical elements and three loops (D, anti-codon, and T loops). RNAcentral also lists the same sequence under 1 other name. The record is from RNAcentral. Lineage: Bacteria; Pseudomonadati; Pseudomonadota; Alphaproteobacteria.
GCCGGAUUAGCUCAGCUGGUAGAGCACCUGAUUUGUAAUCAGGGGGUCGCGGGUUCGAGCCCUGCAUCCGGCACCA